UGGGGAAUCUUGCGCAAUGGGCGAAAGCCUGACGCAGCGACGCCGCGUGGGGGAAGAAGGCCUUCGGGUUGUAAACCUCUUUCAGCAGGGACGAAGCCACUCGGGUUAAUAGCCCAGAGGGUGACGGUACCUGCAGAAGAAGCCCCGGCUAACUACGUGCCAGCAGCCGCGGUAAUACGUAGGGGGCAAGCGUUGUCCGGAUUUAUUGGGCGUAAAGAGCGUGUAGGCGGCCGCACAGGUCCGUUGUGAAAACUGGAGGCUUAACCUUCAGACGUCGAUGGAAACCGUGCGGCUAGAGUCCGGAAGAGGAGAAUGGAAUUCCUGGUGUAGCGGUGAAAUGCGCAGAUAUCAGGAAGAACACCCGUGGCUAAGGCGGUUCUCUAGUACGGUACUGACGCUGAGACGCGAAAGCGUGGGGAGCGAACAGG
Molecule: ribosomal RNA, 428 nt
Filed under: Bacillota bacterium
Lineage: Bacteria; Bacillati; Bacillota
Also listed under: 1 other name
Description: Firmicutes bacterium partial 16S ribosomal RNA
Rfam family: Bacterial small subunit ribosomal RNA
Source: RNAcentral